CUACGGGCGGCAGCAGUGGGGAAUAUUGCACAAUGGGGGAAACCCUGAUGCAGCAACGCCGCGUGAGUGAAGAAGUAUUUCGGUAUGUAAAGCUCUAUCAGCAGGGAAGAAAAUGACGGUACCUGACUAAGAAGCCCCGGCUAACUACGUGCCAGCAGCCGCGGUAAUACGUAGGGGGCAAGCGUUAUCCGGAUUUACUGGGUGUAAAGGGAGCGUAGGCGGCGAUGCAAGUCAGAAGUGAAAGCCCGGGGCUUAACCCCGGGACUGCUUUUGAAACUGUGUUGCUAGAUUGCAGGAGAGGUGAGUGGAAUUCCUAGUGUAGCGGUGAAAUGCGUAGAUAUUAGGAGGAACACCAGUGGCGAAGGCGGCUCACUGGACUGUAAAUGACGCUGAGGCUCGAAAGCGUGGGGAGCAAACAGGAUUAGAUACCCCGGUAGUC
This 439-nucleotide ribosomal RNA is filed under the name uncultured bacterium. RNAcentral describes it as "partial 16S ribosomal RNA". It matches the Rfam family "Bacterial small subunit ribosomal RNA", at positions 339 to 795 of the family's 1533-position model. The record is from RNAcentral.